This 495-nucleotide ribosomal RNA is filed under the name uncultured bacterium. RNAcentral describes it as "partial 16S ribosomal RNA". It matches the Rfam family "Bacterial small subunit ribosomal RNA", at positions 28 to 507 of the family's 1533-position model. The record is from RNAcentral.
GACGAACGCUGGCGGCGUGCCUAAUACAUGCAAGUAGAACGCUGAAGGAGGAGCUUGCUCUUCUGGAUGAGUUGCGAACGGGUGAGUAACGCGUAGGUAACCUGCCUGGUAGCGGGGGAUAACUAUUGGAAACGAUAGCUAAUACCGCAUAACAGUAGAUGUUGCAUGACAUUUACUUAAAAGGUGCAAUUGCAUCACUACCAGAUGGACCUGCGUUGUAUUAGCUAGUUGGUGGGGUAACGGCUCACCAAGGCGACGAUACAUAGCCGACCUGAGAGGGUGGUCGGCCCCACUUGGAAUGGGACACCGCCCAGACCCCUUCCGGGAGGAGCAGGAGGGAAUCUUCGGCCAAGGACGGAAGGUCGACCGGGCAAACGCGCGUGAGUGAAGGAGGUUUUCGGAUUCUAAAACCUUUUUGUUAGGGAAGAACCGGGUGGGGGGGGGAAAGUUCCCACUGGGGCCGGUAUUUACCAGAAAGGGACCGCUAACUUCGUU